RNAcentral lists this ribosomal RNA (1136 nucleotides) under Acinetobacter baumannii. RNAcentral describes it as "bacterial LSU rRNA". It matches the Rfam family "Bacterial large subunit ribosomal RNA", at positions 1813 to 2925 of the family's 2925-position model. The record is from RNAcentral. Lineage: Bacteria; Pseudomonadati; Pseudomonadota; Gammaproteobacteria; Moraxellales; Moraxellaceae.
ACAUAGCACUCUGCAAACACGAAAGUGGACGUAUAGGGUGUGAUGCCUGCCCGGUGCUGGAAGGUUAAUUGAUGGGGUUAGCGUAAGCGAAGCUCUUGAUCGAAGCCCCAGUAAACGGCGGCCGUAACUAUAACGGUCCUAAGGUAGCGAAAUUCCUUGUCGGGUAAGUUCCGACCUGCACGAAUGGCAUAAUGAUGGCGGCGCUGUCUCCAGCAGAGGCUCAGUGAAAUCGAAAUCGCUGUGAAGAUGCAGUGUACCCGCGGCUAGACGGAAAGACCCCGUGAACCUUUACUGCAGCUUGACACUGAACUUUGACCUUACUUGUGUAGGAUAGGUGGGAGGCUUUGAAGCUGGAACGCUAGUUCCAGUGGAGCCGUCCUUGAAAUACCACCCUGGUAAUGUUGAGGUUCUAACUCUGUCCCGUGAUCCGGGACGAGGACCGUGUCUGGUGGGUAGUUUGACUGGGGCGGUCUCCUCCUAAAGAGUAACGGAGGAGUACGAAGGUGCGCUCAGCGUGGUCGGAAAUCACGCGUAGAGUAUAAAGGCAAAAGCGCGCUUAACUGCGAGACCCACAAGUCGAGCAGGUACGAAAGUAGGUCUUAGUGAUCCGGUGGUUCUGUAUGGAAGGGCCAUCGCUCAACGGAUAAAAGGUACUCUGGGGAUAACAGGCUGAUACCGCCCAAGAGUUCAUAUCGACGGCGGUGUUUGGCACCUCGAUGUCGGCUCAUCUCAUCCUGGGGCUGAAGCAGGUCCCAAGGGUAUGGCUGUUCGCCAUUUAAAGAGGUACGCGAGCUGGGUUUAGAACGUCGUGAGACAGUUCGGUCCCUAUCUACCGUGGGCGCUGGAAAUUUGAGAGGAUCUGCUCCUAGUACGAGAGGACCAGAGUGGACGAACCUCUGGUGUACCGGUUGUGACGCCAGUCGCAUCGCCGGGUAGCUAUGUUCGGAAGGGAUAACCGCUGAAAGCAUCUAAGCGGGAAGCCUACCUCAAGAUAAGAUUUCCCUAGGACUUUAUGUCCUCUAAAGAGCCGUUCGAGACUAGGACGUUGAUAGGUUGGAUGUGGAAGCAUAGUGAUAUGUGAAGCUGACCAAUACUAAUUGCUCGUGAGGCUUGACUAUACAACACCCAAGCAGUUG